AGGCCUGCAGAGGGAGAGGCAGGGUCUGAUCCACAGCCUCUGUGGCAGUUGUUGAUCAGCCAUUGCCUCUCUCUUUCUCUCCC
Non-coding RNA from Myotis brandtii (Brandt's bat), 83 nucleotides. NCBI's taxonomy places the organism in Eukaryota, Metazoa, Chordata, Mammalia, Chiroptera, Vespertilionidae. The record is from Rfam.